UACGGAGGGGGCAAGCGUUGUUCGGAAUUACUGGGCGUAAAGGGCGCGCAGGCGGCUGCUCAAGUCAGGCGUGAAAGGCCUGGGCUCAACCCGGGAACUGCGUCCGAUACUGGCAGGCUUGAAUCCGGGAGAGGGAUGCGGAAUUCCAGGUGUAGCGGUGAAAUGCGUAGAUAUCUGGAGGAACACCGGUGGCGAAGGCGGCAUCCUGGACCGGCAUUGACGCUGAGGCGCGAAAGCCAGGGGAGCAAACGGG
This 253-nucleotide ribosomal RNA is filed under the name uncultured bacterium. RNAcentral describes it as "partial 16S ribosomal RNA". It matches the Rfam family "Bacterial small subunit ribosomal RNA", at positions 524 to 776 of the family's 1533-position model. The record is from RNAcentral.